UACAGAGGUCCCAAGCGUUGUUCGGAUUCACUGGGCGUAAAGGGUGUGUAGGCGGUCGUUCAAGUCGCGUGUGAAAGCCCCCGGCUCAACUGGGGAGGGUCACGCGAUACUGAUCGACUCGAAGGCAGGAGAGGGUAGUGGAAUUCCCGGUGUAGUGGUGAAAUGCGUAGAUAUCGGGAGGAACACCAGUGGCGAAGGCGACUACCUGGCCUGUUUCUUGACGCUGAGGCGCGAAAGCUAGGGGAGCAAACGGG
This 254-nucleotide ribosomal RNA is filed under the name uncultured bacterium. RNAcentral describes it as "partial 16S ribosomal RNA". It matches the Rfam family "Bacterial small subunit ribosomal RNA", at positions 524 to 776 of the family's 1533-position model. The record is from RNAcentral.